RNAcentral lists this transfer RNA (63 nucleotides) under Mirhipipteryx andensis. RNAcentral's name for it is "tRNA-Gly". It matches the Rfam family "tRNA". Rfam says of the family: Transfer RNA (tRNA) molecules are approximately 80 nucleotides in length. Their secondary structure includes four short double-helical elements and three loops (D, anti-codon, and T loops). Lineage: Eukaryota; Metazoa; Arthropoda; Insecta; Orthoptera; Ripipterygidae. The record is from RNAcentral.
ACCCUUUUAGUAUAAUAGUAUAUUUGACUUCCAAUCAAAAGGUUUAAUUAGUUAAAAAGGGUA